Lycium ferocissimum is the source of this 548-nucleotide long non-coding RNA. RefSeq lists it as uncharacterized. The record is from RefSeq and is a predicted model, not a curated record. NCBI's taxonomy places the organism in Eukaryota, Viridiplantae, Streptophyta, Magnoliopsida, Solanales, Solanaceae. The transcript is spliced from 2 exons.
AAAAGUAAAAUUUAAAAUAAAAAGAGGUUUGAAGAAGUUAUACAUGAUGAGGCUUCUUCACAUUUUUUUGGCUUUGCUCAUCAUGGCUUCAAUGUCAAAAGCUGAAUUAAUCAAUGUGGACAAACCCCCUGUUGGUCCAACAACUUGUCCUGUGCCUAAAAAUAAAUGUGGAGAGGCAUGCAUUAAGAGAUGCUCGGCUACAUCUCACAAAAACCCUUGCUUGUUUUAUUGCAACCAUUGUUGUGAAUGGUGUCAGUGUGUUCCACCAGGAACUGUUGGGAAUAAAGAGUGUUGUUCAUGCUACAAUAAUUGGAAGACAAAGAGAGGAGGACCAAAAUGUCCAUGAAAUUAAAUUAGUCAUGAAAAAAAUGGUUUUAUUGGAUCAAUUUUAUGUUUAAUUUCUUUGUUUGAUCUUCUUGAGAAGGGGUUUCCCAUAAAUUGUAAAAUCAAGAAUUAAUACUUCUUAAUUCUGUUUUCUGUUUGAACAUGAUCAACUAUUAUCUAUAUUGCAAAUUUUUAUGAACCAAAAAGAAACUGAAUUUCCUUUA